GCAUUGGUGGUUCAGUGGUAGAUUUCUCACCUUCAUGUGAGUGACCCAGGUUCGACUCCCUGCCAGUGCA
This 70-nucleotide transfer RNA is filed under the name Loxodonta africana (African savanna elephant). It matches the Rfam family "tRNA". From Rfam's summary of the family: Transfer RNA (tRNA) molecules are approximately 80 nucleotides in length. Their secondary structure includes four short double-helical elements and three loops (D, anti-codon, and T loops). Lineage: Eukaryota; Metazoa; Chordata; Mammalia; Proboscidea; Elephantidae. The record is from Rfam by way of RNAcentral.